CCAAAGGCUCUUUUAAGAGCCACCACAUGCACAAUAAAAAGAGCUGU
Regulatory RNA element from Ficedula albicollis (Collared flycatcher), 47 nucleotides. It matches the Rfam family "Histone 3' UTR stem-loop". Rfam says of the family: The mRNAs of metazoan histone genes lack a poly-A tail. 3' end processing occurs at a site between a highly conserved stem-loop (modelled by this family) and a purine rich region around 20 nts downstream (the histone downstream element, or HDE). The stem-loop is bound by a 31 kDa stem-loop binding protein (SLBP - also termed the histone hairpin binding protein, or HBP). Lineage: Eukaryota; Metazoa; Chordata; Aves; Passeriformes; Muscicapidae. The record is from Rfam.